AUUGAACGCUGGCGGCAUGCUUUACACAUGCAAGUCGAACGGCAGCGCGGGCUUCGGCCUGGCGGCGAGUGGCGAACGGGUGAGUAAUACAUCGGAACGUGCCCAGUAGUGGGGGAUAGCUCGGCGAAAGCCGGAUUAAUACCGCAUACGACCUGAGGGUGAAAGCGGGGGAUCUUCGGACCUCGCGCUAUUGGAGCGGCCGAUGGCAGAUUAGCUAGUUGGUGGGGUAAAGGCCUACCAAGGCGACGAUCUGUAGCUGGUCUGAGAGGACGACCAGCCACACUGGGACUGAGACACGGCCCAGACUCCUACGGGAGGCAGCAGUGGGGAAUUUUGGACAAUGGGCGAAAGCCUGAUCCAGCAAUGCCGCGUGUGUGAUGAAGGCCUUCGGGUUGCAAAGCACUUUUGGCGGGAACGAAAAGGACUGUGCCAAUACCACGGUUCGAUGACGGUACCCGCAGAAUAAGCACCGGCUAACUACGUG
RNAcentral lists this ribosomal RNA (484 nucleotides) under uncultured bacterium. RNAcentral describes it as "partial 16S ribosomal RNA". It matches the Rfam family "Bacterial small subunit ribosomal RNA", at positions 29 to 507 of the family's 1533-position model. The record is from RNAcentral.